AGCCUACUCCCAUUGCCUCCUAGGGUCCAGGGCUGGAGAUACCCCAAUGCUAGAGGCUUUCCCUCAGCUGCAGCUCCCCAGGGCUUUUCUUGGCAGUGCUGGGAUAGAGAAGAGCCAUCAUCUCUCCAUUGCAUCCACCUCCCGCAGAGACCGAUCCCUGCAGUGCUGGCACUCUGCUAGGUCAAUGCCGUGGAAACAGCAGAGCCCCAUGGGGUUAUGGGGUACCAGCUCCCAGCCCCUUGGGAAGGCAUCUCAGUGCCCAAAGGUGCCAGGGGAGCAUGGAGUGCCCUCACUGUGAUGCUGAUUAACGUGGCCCCAUGGAUGGAGGGAAGUGUUCUCAAGGCAAGGAUGGGAUGAUGGAAGGAUGUCCUGAUCCUCCCAGGUGAAGACUUCUCCAUGCUAUAGGGGUGCCAAUGCCUGGGACACGCUUGCCCUGUCCCCAUUCUCACAUCCAAAUGAAGUUCAUCCCAACUCGGAGAGCAGAUUGUCCAUUUUUCCACCCUGUGCUUUACAGAGAGCCCUGGCACUGAGGGGUGCCAAGGUGCCCAAACUGCCCCCAAGAAAGGACUUAGUCCCCUGCCACUGGGACCAAGGAAAAGUCCCCAAACACCCAGCAUGGUCGUGCCCCUCCCAUGGGCCACCUCCUAUCCAUAUACAACAAAGCCUGGCAGCGAAUUAAUCUUCAACUGGGCACCGAGGAUUGUUGCUGGAACUUUAUUACAUCGUGUCCUGCCCAGCGCAGCGUUAACCAUUAACCCGGUGGCUCUGAUAUCAGCUCCAGCACCCUGCACUUCAGCUAUCCCUGACAGCAUCUUAUCUGAUCGCACGGCCAUAAAUCUGGGCAUGGAGCUGCCUGAAAGCACCCACGCCUGCAGCAACCCCAGGGAGUUAUCGUGGGGUGAGAAGGAGGAAGAAGGAGCAGGUGAAGGUGGCAACGCCUCGCUUCUCCCACGUCCUUCGAGGGUGUCCUCUGCUCUGCAGGGGGAACGUUAGGAGGGGAUGUCUUCACGGCUGGCACUUCUUGGCCAGGUGCUGUGGAUUGAGUUCGCUUUGUUUUCCAUUCACACCCUUUAUGCGCGCAAUCUGUAACAGCUGCAAUUCUUCCUCCUCCUGACAACUGUCACUGACCCCCCACCAAAGGUAAUUAAAAAGGAGAGGAAAGCUCAUUUCCUCCAAAGCCAAGCCCUGCCUGGCACCCUGCCCC
Molecule: long non-coding RNA, 1204 nt
Organism: Gallus gallus (chicken)
Lineage: Eukaryota; Metazoa; Chordata; Aves; Galliformes; Phasianidae
Source: Ensembl